CUCGAUGCACCGAGGAAUUUCGCUUGAGGAAGGUGAAGAAUGACGAGCUGAAGGCUGAAGCCAAGGCCAAAGGCACAGUCAUCUGCACUAAGAGGCAACCGGAAGGCCCCAAACCAGGGUUCAUGGUUGAAGGAGCUUUAAUGGAAACUGUGACUCCCAUUCCCUACAAUGUGGUUAAUGAUCUCAAGGGUGGCUAUUGAAAUUUUAUCCUCUUUGAACUUUUGCCUUGUUUUGUAGUUUCAUUUUUGUUUGAUAUUUGAACUGCUUGAAUAGUACAAUUUUAUCAUAUUAUGCUUCUAAAUUUUGGAUACGAAACUUAUGGAAUUAAAUUGUUUCUUAGUUUCUAGUUUUGGCCAUUAGCAUAAGGAAGUGUAGUUUUAGCUUAUUAAAAGUAAAUUUUGUUGCCUUAGGUUAUUCUUUCCAUUGUUUUCAUAUAUUCAUAUUUCUUAAUCACCAUCUAAUUUCUUUCCAUUGUUUUCACAUAUUCAUAUUUCUUAAUCUGAUUAGCGUUUUUAUUUCAAUAACAAAGGAGAGUUUUCCAAACUUUGAUAUUACCCAUGAUAGAGAAUGUUUUGAGUUGGAAUUAGGGCAAAUUAUAGCCUAAAUUAAAUGUUUACAAACAUUAGUCAUUUUAUCACUAAAAUUUCUUUGGACUUCAUUUGAUAUGUCAAUUUGUUUGGUUUAUGUUUUCAAAUAAUUAUUGACAUGAAAUUAAAGUAUGGAUAUAUAUCAAAAUUACUUACAGUAAAUGAACGAAUCAAGGUUGAUGAGAGUUUUUGCAAUCAUCCUUCAUCAUUUAUGUAUUCUUUCAAUGACUUUGAUUCUGCCACAAUCUAUUUUGUUCUUCUAAUUCUUGAAUAGCUUGUCAAUCUCAUUGGCGUGCAUUUCUCGCUCAUGAGCUAAUGCAGUUGAGGAAGAACUAUCAAUGGCGUGUUAGAACUUUGGCCUUUGAGUAGCCUAGUCGUCUAUCCAAAAUUGGCUUUGCAUAUUCGUGGGUUGGGACUAGAUAACAAGUAUUUGAUUCUGCCAUAAAAUUUAAUUGAAUAAUAAGUAAAUUGUGUGUAAACAAAAUGUAAAAACAAAAUGAAGACAACAAGCAUAGCAGAAAACUUACACGAGCAUCUACUCUCUUACAUCUUCACUCGAUCAGUGAGCGCUACUAUUGUGACUGUAGGGCUGCUUUGCUAUAGUAGCCCUAUUCUUUGAUGAUUGUAGAUGUAAAUAAGAUAAAAAUGGAACAUUAAAGAACAUUAAAAAUAUAAACUUUCGUUUGAGAACAUUUGUAAGUUUUAAGUCAUUUAAAAUUGUCACAUAUCCAACACACGAUUCUUCAAUCGCGGGUGGGUUGGCUUGUGCCUAUUCAGGAUCACUAAACUUUUUUAAAUGACGAGGGUUCUGCCCCUAAACUCUUUUCCCUAAACUCUUUCUAGGUGGUGAGAACCUGAUGCUCAACUAACGGAUUAGGUGUUGGAUAUGUGAAAUCCUCGAAAAAUUGCUACAAAAGGAAAGUAUAUUAAGAUUAUAUAUAUGUACGCGAUAGGUCAUUAACUUAUAUGAACGCUUAAUUUUAAAACUUACUCGUAUAGAGUCCUUCACGAGUUCGAUGUAAUAUGGGGUAACAUCGGUCCACUUAAGAAAGCAAUCAGGAAAAGUGUCUAGCGUUAGCACAACGCGAGCCAAUGGUACAACUGAAGCGAACAGUGUGUGGAAAGAUCAACUUAUCUUCCAGUGUAUGGAAAGAUCAACUUAUCUUGUCUUGGAACGAUCAAUAUGAGGAUCUUCCCAUUUUGUGCAACAUAUCACCACCUCCUCUUCUACACCACCACUAUUUAAUGGCAUGCCAUUCUCAAAACCUUUCUUUGCCGUUUGUUGUUCAUGUUCAAUCGUUGCUUGUAAAUCGUGCAACAUCCCCAACUUUUUCACUGUCUUCAUAAAAUAGAUUACUACUAUUUGAUUAAUGGAAAUGAUCAUUACUAGGUGUUUCAUCUAAUCUUUCUAUACCUUUAUAUAUACAAGUUGACUGAGACUCCAUAAUACACCAAUAUGUGUAGGAGAGGCAUAUUCUAUUCGUUAAUAAAUGUCUGUCCAUACCCUCUAAUUAAAGGCUCUCCAUGCAUGAUGGCGUCAGGAGAAGUUUGCAUCUUUUUUAAAUUUUAAACUUCUCUCAAUGUCGCUAUGCAUGUCAUGGAGAGUUCCCUUUAAAAUUUCUUUUCUUAUUUUUUUCCUCAGACGUGUCUCUCUCCCUUAAGGUUCACCACCACUUGUUGUCUAUUAUCUGUCGCUUGCUGUCGCAGUCGACACUUGUGAGCUAUCCUUCGUCCCUCGUCGGUAAAUGUUUGUUUCGUUUUUUUUCGUUUUGGUUUGAGUUUGAGAAAAAAAAAACACUAAAAAGGUAUGUUAUUUUAUUUUAUUGUGAAAGCCUUCUUUUAUAGUGUUCAUCUUUGCCAAUUUUACAUUAUGCAAAAAGAAGGUUUAUGAGAUAUUUUUUUUAUUUAAUAAUUAUUUUUAAUUAUUAAUUAAGAAAAAAUAGCUAAAUACUCACAUUUGAGUGAAUUGUCAGAGAAUUUAAAUGAAGGUAAGAAUGACAAUCCAAUGAUAAAAUUUAACCUUCCAAAUUUAGUGAGUACUUGAACUUGUCUAACAAUCGUUAAAUUACACUUCUAGAACCUCAAAACUAUUUUGAAAAUUAUCGAAACACUAAUUUUUUUUUAAAAAAAAUGACUUAAUUUUUCUAUCAAAUACUUAAAAAUAUAUUUAAAAGACAGUAUUGUGUUUCAAUUUAAAUUAAAAUUAAACUCUACACCAUGAUAAUAAUUUUUUUGACCAUUUUUAUUUUCUAGAGGAAAAACUACAAAAAUAGUUAUAAAUGUAGCCAUUAGAUUUAAAAUAAUUAAAUUUUUAAUAAUAUAAUUUUUAAAAAUAUAACAUAAUAUGUUAAAUUCGAAAUGAUAGUAAUCAAAUAUUAGUCACUAUAUUUAUGAUUUUUUAAAAAUAUAGUUAUAUGACUAUUCGUAAAUUUGCUAACAGAUUACAUUUUGUGCUUUCUAUCUGGGCCCAGUUUAAUUUAUCCGGCCCAUUAAAGAAGCCAAUAAAAAACCUAGCCUGGGAAUUAGGGUUUCUUCAUUUUGUGAGAGAGUGUGAGAGAAAGUUCCUGCUCCAAUCAUGCCGGCCGGCCAUGGACUUCGAUCACGUACCAGAGACCUCUUCGCCAGGCCUUUCAGGAAGAAGGGUUACAUUGCUUUGACUACCUACUUGAGGACGUACAAAAUCGGUGAUUAUGUGGAUAUCAAGGUGAACGGCGCCGUCCACAAGGGUAUGCCUCAUAAAUUUUACCAUGGUCGCACAGGUCAGGUAUGGAAUGUCACAAAGCGCGCCAUCGGUGUCGAGAUCAACAAGCAGGUUCGGGAUUCUUUUUUAAAAUCUGUUAUAGUUUUUAGAAUGUAUGUGAAUCUGGUGAUUUAGGGUAAUAGAUCGUGUUUGGUUUUGAUAGAAUCUUAAUUAGUUUUCGGACUCUGUUUUUCUUAUUAAACUUGUGAAUCUUAAUGUAUGUUCUAGUUUGAUGGGUUCUGGAAUCUGCUUUUUUUUUUUUUAAGUAUUAAACUUGUGAUUUUCGGAAUGAAUUUUUUGUAGGUCGGGAACAGAAUUAUUAAGAAAAGAAUUCAUGUGAGAGUGGAGCACAUGCAGCCUUCUCGAUGCACCGAGGAAUUUCGCUUGAGGAAGGUGAAGAAUGACGAGCUGAAGGCUGAAGCCAAGGCCAAAGGCACAGUCAUCUGCACUAAGAGGCAACCGGAAGGCCCCAAACCAGGGUUCAUGGUUGAAGGAGCUCUAAUGGAGACUGUGACUCCCAUUCCAUACGAUGUGGUUAAUGAUCUUAAAGGUGGCUAUUAGAAUUUUCACCUAUCUGAACUUUUGCUUUGCCUUGUUUUGUGAGUCUUAUUUUUGUUUGAUCUUUGCUGCGCAACUGCUCUAAUGGUACUGGCGUAGGUGGAUGGGUCCUUUGUGGUUCGACUUCUAAAGGAAAACAACAAAAGAGUAAUAGGAAAUAUAGUAAAAUUAUUUUUAAAAAGAUAUAGAGUUAUUUGUUCUCACUUUAGAGGUUCUUCAGUUAUUUAUCACUAUUUCAUUAUUAGAGAAGCAAACAAGAAAGACAUUGACUUGGAAACGUAUAAAUCUUUGUUGAAACGUUUGAUUUACUUCAAGAAAUAAAAUAAUAGAAUAGAAUAUCAAUUCAUCUUUUAUGUCAAUGUUAAACUUGGAAAAAAUAUGAAAAUAUGAUAAAAUAUUGUGAUGUUGAUGGAGAUUUAAUAAUAUGUCACCUAACUCCUUUUGAAAUUCAAGAAGUAAACAAAGACUAAGCGUGAAUUAAAAUUAGGAUAUGCAUUUUUAUCGAUUUUUUAAAAUAAUAAGUAAAAUGCUACUUUUUCCAACUACUCUAUGGUAACAUUUAAAAACAAUUUUAUGUUUUAAUUUUCAUAAUUAUGAAAGGCAUCAAACAAAUAAUUUAUUUAUCCUUCUUCCAUUGUAUAUUAAAAUUUAGUCGAUUUGGAUGUAAAUUAUACGUAGGUAGGAUGCUCUAUGUUUCAAAUACUUAGUCUUUUACUCAAUUAUUUAUUAAGAGCAAUAUAUUAAUACAUUAACGAUGAAUUGAAAUGAUAAAUUUAGAAACAUUUUUUUUAAUACAAAUUGGAUCUAAGAUCUAGAACACAAAAUUUCUUGAUCUUCAAUCCACAUAUUGCAAUUGAAUUAAGCUCUUCAAAAAUUUAGAAAAUCAUAUAUUUUUUAAACCUCUCUUGAGUAAUUCACACUAAGAAAACCACAAAUUUGAUGCAAAGGAGACUUGGAGGGAUUCCAAUAGUUUAUAACAAACUUUUAUACAAAUUUGAAGCAAGGGAGACUUAGGAUUCCAAUAGUUUAUAACAAACUUUUAAUAAUAUAAAGUUAAGAUUUGAAUUAAAAAUUAGCAGUAGACUCGAUAAAUUUUAAAUAACUUUUGAAGAUCUAUAAAAUUAAAAAUGAAGAGUAUCGAUUUGGUUUUUAAAAGUUAAGAUUGUGUUUUUUUUAAAAAUUAUUUUUGUUUAAAAAUUUUGAUUAAGAAUAUGAGAACUUUUCUAAAAAUGUAAAAAGUAUAGUCUAUGAUUAAUUUUUUUUUUAGAAAUAGAAACUAAAAUAAAAAGUAAUUUAUUUUGAAAAUAAAAACAAAUUCUUUGAAAAACAAAUAUUUUUCUAAGGUCAAUGGAUCAAAAUUUGUGAUUAAAUCUUUUUUUUAGGUUAAAAGCCCUUUGAAAAUGAAUAGUCAAUUAUACCCCCGGAUCUUCGUCGUCGUUGGGUUUAACUCAAUUUCCCGUUUCUCGUCAGAACUGCAAACUGAAGACGGAACCCGCGAAUUCGUUGCCGAACAAAGAUCUUCAGUGCGAGCUUCAGUCUAGACAUGGGUACUAGAGAAGUUUACGAACAGAAGCUAAGAAGAGGCAAUCUCUACCAUGAACCCACUAUGAAUCCAGGGCUCGGAUCGCCUCGUUGCCCUCGCUGUUUUUCUCUUCUUAAACCCGACGUAUUUGUCUCUUCUUCUUCUUCUAUUAAGCACCUUCUACUACUUAAGUUUUUUAGUUUUGGGAUUCAUGUUUGAGUUUUACUGUGUUUUGAUUCAGGAUAAAAGUGAAUGGGCCAUCAAUCCUGUUCUCCACGGUGUUACUGCUGUGGUGAGUUGCCAUCGUUCCGAUCUUCGAUUUUAUUUGCUUUGAGAACACAUAAUUUAAUGGGUGCUUCUAGGUUUUUUGAUCGUGUAGAGUUAUAAUUGAACUCUAUGUUGUGUUUGUUUAAUUGGUUCGGUCUUGAGUAGUUCAUGAACGUUUGUUGAUCGAUGAUUUAGGAGUUUAAUUCAAUUCAGUUCUUGCUAUUAGCAAUUGGAGUAUUCUAUCUAACUCAAUUCAUGGUUUUCAAGGGACGUAAAAAAUUGUAGGAAUGAAGUUCGUGGUUUUCUUUUGGAAAAAUCUUUAUUUCUUCGCUAAUUCAAAAGAAGGUUUAUGAGAUAUUUUAUUCUUAUUUAAUAUUUUUUUUAUUAUAUUAAGAAAAAAUAGCUAAAUACUCACCUUUGAGUGAAUUGUCAGAGAAUUUAAAUGAAGGUAAGAAUGACAAUCCAAUGAUAAAAUUUAACCUUCCAAAUUUAGUGAGUACUUGAACUUGUCUAACAAUCGUAAAUUAAAUUCUAGAACCUAAAACUAUUUGGAAAAUUAUCGAAACACAAUUUUUUUUAAAAUGACUUAAUUUUUCUAUCAAAUACUUAAAAAUAUAUUUAAAACACAGUAUUGUGUUUCAAUUAAAUUAAAAUUAAACUCUACACCAUGAUAAUAAUUUUUUUGACCAUUUUUAUUUUCUGAGGAAAAACUACAAAAAUAGUUAUAAAUGUAGCCAUUAGAUUUAAAAUAAUUAAGUUUUAAUAAUAUAAUUUUUAAAAAUAUAACAUAAUAUGUUAAGUUCGAAAUGAUAGUAAUCAAAUAUUAGUCACUAUAUUUAUGAUUUUUUAAAAAUAUAGUUAUAUGACUAUUCGUAAAUUUGCUAACAGAUUACAUUUUGUGCUUUCUAUCUGGGCCCAGUUUAAUUUAUCCGGCCCAUUAAAGAAGCCAAUAAAAAACCUAGCCCUGCAAUUAGGGUUUCUUCAUUUUGUGAGAGAGUGUGAGAGAAAGUUCUGCUCCAAUCAUGCCGGCCGGCCAUGGACUUCGAUCACGUACCAGAGACCUCUUCGCCAGGCCUUUCAGGAAGAAGGGUUACAUUGCUUUGACUACCUACUUGAGGACGUACAAAAUCGGUGAUUAUGUGGAUAUCAAGGUGAACGGCGCCGUCCACAAGGGUAUGCCUCAUAAAUUUUACCAUGGUCGCACAGGUCAGGUAUGGAAUGUCACAAAGCGCGCCAUCGGUGUCGAGAUCAACAAACAGGUUCGGGAUUCUUUUUUAAAAUCUGUUAUAGUUUUUAGAAUGUAUAUGAAUCUGGUGAUUUAGGGUAAUAGAUUGUGUUUGGUUUUGAUAGAAUCUUAAUUAGUUUUCGGACUCUGUUUUUCUUAUUAAACUUGUGAAUCUUAAUGUAUGUUCUAGUUUGAUGGGUUCUGGAAUCUGCUUUUUUUUUUUUUAAGUAUUAAACUUGUGAUUUUGGAAUGAAUUUUUUGUAGGUCGGGAACAGAAUUAUUAAGAAAAGAAUUCAUGUGAGAGUGGAGCACGUGCAGCCUUCUCGAUGCACGGAGGAAUUUCGCUGAGGAAGGUGAAGAAUGAUGAGCUGAAGGCUGACCAGGCCAAGGCCAAAGGCGCAGUCAUCUGCACCAAGAGGCAACCGGAAGGCCCCAAACCAGGGUUCAUGGUUGAAGGAGCUCUGAUGGAGACUGUGACUCCCAUUCCAUACGAUGUGGUUAAUGAUCUCAAAGGUGGCUAUUAGAAUUUUCAUCUCUUUGAACUUUUGCCUUGUUUUGUGAGUCUUAUUUUUGUUUGAUCUUUGCAACUGCUCUAAUGGUACAAUUUUCUCAGAUUAUGCUUCUAAAUUUUGGAAACGAACUUAUAGAAUUGAAUUGUUUCUUAGUUUCUAGUUUUCGUCACCCUGUAGUUUUAGUUAUUCAAAGAUGUUCUUGUUUCGAUUAUUUCCAUUGAACCCAUAUUUCUUAAACUAACUAAUCUUUCUAUUCUUAAUCACCAUCCAAUUUUGAUAACAAAAAGAGUUUUUAAAACUAAUUUGAGUUUCAAACAUUCUUACUUUUUUGAUAUUACUAAUGACAGAAUGUUUAUCACUGAAAUUUAUUUGAUAUGUCAAUCAAUUGUGUUUUGGUUGCUUAUUGUUUGGUUUAUGUUCCCAAAUAUUGUUAUCGGUGAAUAAAACUACGAGGAGUUCGCUUGAGUAUAUGAUAGUAAACUAAUGAUUUUUAGUGAAAAAGUGGAGUAUUAAGGUUGGUAACUCUCGAACAUCCUUUGACCAUUAUAAUAAGUUCAUUGUUGUAGAUUUUAUCCAAUUGUAAUAUGUUACACCAUUUAUAAUUGUAUGGAACAGAUGUUCUUGAUUGAUUAUAUUUGAGAGAACCUUAAUAUGUAUGUGGAAUUUUUAAUUGUUUUAUUUAUGUUUUAUAAAUAAGGUUCAUUUCGUAAUCAACUAUCAAAUAAUUUGGAAUUUUAAAACCUACCCUUUUGAAAGUGUUAUUUUAUUUUUGUGUCAAAUUUAAUAACAUUUUCGUUAUUGAGAUAGAGAUUUGAAUUCUAACUAGUUCUUGUAGUUUAUUUGCCAUAAAUUGCCGACACAUGUGGUGGUGACUGUAAUAUCAAAAAUUCAUAACCAUUCAGGCCAUUGGCAUGUAGAAAAUUGAUUGUCCUGUAAGUUAUGUGAUUUUUAAAUGAUGAUGUGAUUUCUCCAUUUAAGUUAGUAGCAGCAAAAAUUUGGGAAUUUUCAAUCUGUAAUUAUGAUCGGCUCGAGUUAUUGACUCUCUUUUGAAUAUGUGGCUAGUUUUAAUCUUCUGUUUCAAAAUGAUUGAACGGUCUUUGUAUGUCUCAUAUUCCAAAGAUCAAACAUUUUAUAUGAUAAAAUUGGCUAGAAAUAGUGAAGGGUUUUUCGAUUUUCAAGUGUAUUCAUUGGAGUUUUGUCAUAGUAAUUUAGCUUCGAAAAAACUCAUUCAAGUGGUUAAAAAUGUGAUUGGACAUUCGAUUCUGCAUAUGAGAGUUUGAAAGAAAAUGUCGGUGCAGACUAAUUAGUGAUGUAUGGUAUGCCUUGGUUUCUAUCUAAUAUGAAGUUCGGAAGUUUGGUGAUUAUUAGAAAACACAUUCCCUUUUUUCGACUUUAAACACUUGUGGUCUUAGAUGAGAUUAGAAAUGUACAUCCUGAACUUUUGAAUAACUCUUAAUUCAAACUUUAUGGUGAUAAUACUAAAUAGAAAUAGUAUGAUCACUUUAAGUAACAACAAUUACUCAUGACUCAUUCUUUUGUUUUGAUUUUGGUUGGGUUGUAUCCACACGGAUGUUCUUUAUAUUCCAUUAGUUAUAAAAGAUUGCUGCUCCAUACAAUUUUCCAUCAUGACCAAUAUGUUCUUUAUAUUCCAUUAGUUAUAAAAGAUUGCUGCUCCAUACAAUUUUCCAUCAUGACCAAUAAAUAAUGGUGAUCGGAACGAUAAUUAAAAUAAUAGAAAAACUAAAAUAGAAUAAAGUUUAGAUACCAAUCUAUAAAUUUAAAUCUAUUAUUUAAUUUAAAUUUUGUGAACCACCUCAAACAAUAUUUUGAACUUAAGCCUAAGGUUCACUUUAAUAUAUGGUCACCACAUAAACUUUAUUAAAGAAAAAGAGAGGAAAAAGGAAAAAUUCCCAAAUACUUUUUCUCAAAAAAAAGAAGAAGAAGAGGGAAAAUCCUUUGUUUAGUAGUGAAAGACAUAGACGUUAUACUCCACUACGGCAUCGCCGGAGCUGAAAUUCAGGGCAUGAGUCUUCGCCAGAGCAUACCCACGAGCAAAUCGGAAAAGCCCGCCGCCGCCGACCACUGGCAUCUCUCUCACGGCGGACAUAAUCGUAUUCCGCCCCAAGAUGCUCAAAUAACUCCCAUUAUAUUUCCCUUCCACAAACGCGAAAUUCAUUACCAUUAAGAGCCCAAAUUCCGUUUUCGACGCCCCCGCGUAAAAUCCUUGAGCUUUUCCCAGCAAUUUUGACCCAAUUUCCGGCCGUUCAGUCAGCGGAUCAUCCGUCAUCACCACAGCGCCAAACAGAGUCCGUGAGGCAUUGGACGACGGCGGUGGAACGACAAUCAGCGCCGUGGGGUUCCGGCCGCUGACGAUGUCAUGGAAGUAAAAGUGGAGAUGACUCAGCUUCUCCCGCCGCCGAAUGCCGAGCUUUUCCGGUGACAGAACGGUGUCGGAUGCGGCGAGGAGGGAGGUAAGGAAGAGAGAGAAAAAAGUGGCAGCUGCGACGGCGGUGGAGGGCAUGGGGAUGAGAAUUGGAGCCAUGGGAGUGGAGGAAUUUGAAAGUAUUUAAAACGGUGGAAUUUCAUUAAUAAUGAAUUGUGUUUGAUAUAAACGGCGAGAAGAAAAGUAAAAGGUAUUGGCGUAGGUGGAUGGGUCCUUUGUGGUUCGACUUCUAAAGGAAAACAACAAAAGAAAUAAUAGGAUUUUUUAUAUUUACAAAAUAUAUUAAAAUUUUUAAAAGAUAUAGAGUUAUUUGUUCUCAGUUCUUCAUUUAUUUAUCACUAUUUCAUUAUAGAAGCAAACAAAAGACAUUGCCUUCGAAACUAUAUAAAUCUUUGUUGAAACGUUUGAUUUACUUCAAGAAAUAAAAUGCCUUCUUAUUGAAAUUUUCUAAUUCUAGUAACUUUAAAAACUAAACUUAUUUCUCUCCUUUGCACAACAUGAUUUUGAUUUUCUAAAUUUUUUAUUUUAUGUUUUACUAUGAUAUAAUAGAAUAUCAAUUCAUCUUUUAUGUCAAUGUUAAACUUGGAAAAAUAUGAAAAUAUGAUAAAAAUAUUGUGAUGUUGAUGGAGAUUUAAUAAUAUGUCACCUAGCUUCUUUUGAAAUUCAAGAAGUAAACAAACACGAAGCGUGAAUUAAAAUUAGGAUAUGCGUUUUUAUCAAUUUUUUGAAAUAAUAAAUAAAUGCUACUUUUUCCAGCUACUCCAUUGGUAACAUUUAAAAACAAUUUUAUGUUUUAAUUUUCAUAAUUAUGAAAAGGCAUCAAACAAAUAAUUUAUUUAUCCUUCUUCCAUUGUAUAUUAACCAAUUUGGUAGAUUUAGAUGUAAAUUAUACUAUAGUAGGUAGGAUGCUCUAUGUUUCAAAUACUUAGUUUUUACUCAAUUAUUUAUUAAGAGCAAUGCAUUAAUACAUUAACGAUGAAUUGAAAUGAUAAAUUUAGAAACAAUUUUUAUAAUACAAAUUGGAUCUAAGAUCUAGAACACAAAAUUUCUUGAUCUUCAAUCCACAUAUUGCAAUUGAGUUAAGCUCUUCAAAAAUUUAAAAAAUCAUAUAUUUUUUAAACCUCUCUUGAGUAAUUCACACUAAAAAAACCAAGGAGACUUGGAGGGAUUCCAAUAGUUUAUAACAAACUUUUAUACAAAUUUGAAGCAAGGGAGACUUGGAGGAUUCCGAUAGUUUAUAACAAACUUUUAAUAAUAUAAAGUUAAGAUUUGAAUUAAAAAUGGGCAGUAGACUCGAAAAAUCUUAAAUAACUUUUGAAGAUCUAUAAGAUUAAAAAUGAAGAGUAUCGAUUUUUUUUAAAAAUUAAGUUUAUAAAUACUACUUUUAUUCGUAAAUUUAUUUAUUUAUCCAACUCAAAUUUAGGUAAGAUUGUUUUUUUUUAAAAAUUUAUUUUUGUUUAAAAAUUUUGAUUAAGAAUAUGAGAACUUUUUUAAAAAAGUAUACUCUAUGAUUAAUUUUUUCAGAAAUAGAAACUAAAAUAAAAAGUAAUUUAUUUUAGAAAAUAAAAACAAAUUAUUUGAAAAACAAAUAUUUUUCUGAGGUCAAUGGAUCAAAAUUUGUGAUUAAAUCUUUUUUUUAGGUUAAAAACCCUUUGAAAAUGAAUGGUCAAUUAUACCCGGAUCUUCGUCGUUUGGUUUAACUCAAUUUCCGUUUCUCGUCAGAACUGCAAACUGAAGAGACGGAACCCGCGAAUUCGUUGCCGAACAAAGAUCUUCAGUGCGAGCUUCAGUCUAGACAUGGGUACUAGAGAAGUUUACGAACAGAAGCUAAGAAGAGGCAAUCUCUACCAUGAACCCACUAUGAAUCCAGGGCUCGGAUCGCCUCGUUGCCCUCGCUGUUUUUCUCUUCUUAAACCCGACCCUGUAUUUGUCUCUUCUUCUUCUUCUAUUAAGCACCUUCUACUACUUAAGUUUUUUAGUUUUGGGAUUCAUGUUUGAGUUUUACUGUGUUUUGAUUCAGGAUAAAAGUGAAUGGGCCAUCAAUCCUGUUCUCCACGGUGUUACUGCUGUGGUGAGUUGCCAUCGUUCCGAUCUUCGAUUUUAUUUGCUUUGAGAACACAUAAUUUAAUGGGUGCUUCUAGGUUUUUUGAUCGUGUAGAGUUAUAAUUGAACUCUAUGUUGUGUUUGUUUAAUUGGUUCGGUCUUGAGUAGUUCAUGAACGUUUGUUGAUCGAUGAUUUAGAGUUUAAUUCAAUUCAGUUCUUGCUAUUAGCAAUUGGAGUAUUCUAUCUAACUCAAUUCAUGGUUUUCAAGGGACGUAAAAAAUUGUAGGAAUGAAGUUCGUGGUUUUCUUUUGGAAAAAUCUUUAUUUCUUCGCUAAUUCAAAAAGAAGGUUUAUGAGAUAUUUUAUUCUUAUUUAAUAAUUUUUUUUAAUUAUUAAUUAAGAAAAAAUAGCUAAAUACUCACCUUUGAGUGAAUUGUCAGAGAAUUUAAAUGAAGGUAAGAAUGACAAUCCAAUGAUAAAAUUUAACCUUCCAAAUUUAGUGAGUACUUGAACUUGUCUAACAAUAGUUAAAUUAUAGAUCUAGAACCUAAAAACUAUUUGGAAAAUUAUCGAAACAUCAAUUUUUUUUUUUAAAAUGACUUAAUUUUUGUAUCAAAUACUUAAAAAUAUAUUCAAAACACAGUAUUGUGUUUCAAUUAAAAUUAAAAUUAAACUCUACACCAUGAUAAUAAUUUUUUUGACCAUUUUUAUUUUCUGGAGGAAAAACUACAAAAAUAGUUAUAAAUGUAGCCAUUAGAUUUAAAAUAAUUAAGUUUAUAAUAAUAUAAUUUUUAAAAAUAUAACAUAAUAUGUUAAGUUCGAAAUGAUAGUAAUCAAAUAUUAGUCACUAUAUUUAUGAUUUUUUAAAAAUAUAGUUAUAUGACUAUUCGUAAAUUUGCUAACAGAUUACAUUUUGUGCUUUCUAUCUGGGCCCAGUUUAAUUUAUCCGGCCCAUUAAAGAAGCCAAUAAAAAACCUAGCCCUCGCAAUUAGGGUUUCUUCAUUUUGUGAGAGAGUGUGAGAGAAAGUUCCUGCUCCAAUCAUGCCGGCCGGCCAUGGACUUCGAUCACGUACCAGAGACCUCUUCGCCAGGCCUUUCAGGAAGAAGGGUUACAUUGCUUUGACUACCUACUUGAGGACGUACAAAAUCGGUGAUUAUGUGGAUAUCAAGGUGAACGGCGCCGUCCACAAGGGUAUGCCUCAUAAAUUUUACCAUGGUCGCACAGGUCAGGUAUGGAAUGUCACAAAGCGCGCCAUCGGUGUCGAGAUCAACAAACAGGUUCGGGAUUCUUUUUUAAAAUCUGUUAUAGUUUUUAGAAUGUAUAUGAAUCUGGUGAUUUAGGGUAAUAGAUUGUGUUUGGUUUUGAUAGAAUCUUAAUUAGUUUUCGGACUCUGUUUUUCUUAUUAAACUUGUGAAUCUUAAUGUAUGUUCUAGUUUGAUGGGUUCUGGAAUCUGCUUUUUUUUUUUUUUAGUAUUAAACUUGUGAUUUU
This 13387-nucleotide long non-coding RNA is filed under the name Cucumis sativus (cucumber). RNAcentral describes it as "long non-coding RNA (CSAT_LNC002629)". The record is from RNAcentral. Lineage: Eukaryota; Viridiplantae; Streptophyta; Magnoliopsida; Cucurbitales; Cucurbitaceae.